RNAcentral lists this ribosomal RNA (253 nucleotides) under uncultured bacterium. RNAcentral describes it as "partial 16S ribosomal RNA". It matches the Rfam family "Bacterial small subunit ribosomal RNA", at positions 524 to 776 of the family's 1533-position model. The record is from RNAcentral.
GACAGAGGGUGCAAACGUUGUUCGGAAUUACUGGGCGUAAAGCGUGUGUAGGCGGCCAAGCAAGUCGGAUGUGAAAGCCCAGGGCUCAACCCUGGAAGUGCACUCGAUACUGCCUGGCUUGAGUAUCGGAGAGGUUGGUGGAAUUCUCGGUGUAGAGGUGAAAUUCGUAGAUAUCGAGAGGAACACCGGUGGCGAAGGCGACCAACUGGACGAAUACUGACGCUGAGACACGAAAGCGUGGGGAGCAAACAGG